Molecule: ribosomal RNA, 253 nt
Filed under: uncultured bacterium
Lineage: Bacteria
Description: partial 16S ribosomal RNA
Rfam family: Bacterial small subunit ribosomal RNA
Source: RNAcentral
GACGAACCGAGCGAACGUUGUUCGGAAUCACUGGGCUUAAAGGGCGCGUAGGCGGGCUGCCGCGUCCGGGGUGAAAUCCUCCGGCUCAACCGGGGAACGGCCUCGGAUACGGGCGGCCUCGAGGGGGGUAGGGGCAUCUGGAACUGUGGGUGGAGCGGUGAAAUGCGUUGAUAUCUACAGGAACUCCGGUGGCGAAGGCGAGGUGCUGGACCCCUUCUGACGCUGAGGCGCGAAAGCCAGGGGAGCAAACGGG